AGUACAUUCUAGUCUGGCUAAUCCAUAGUUGUUAAACGGUUUGGAAAAGGACAUUUUUCCAUGGAAUGCCCACAAGGAGGAGGUGGGAGUCGAGCGUGUAGGUGUCAUAAGUGGGCCAUGUAGCAAGGGAUUUUCCACAAGGAGAGGUCAUUGGUGGCAGCAAGUGUUACAAGUGUCAUGAAGUUGGCCACACCUCGGAAGGCUGUACGAUCUAUUCGUGAAUUGACGAAAAACGGAAAGCCGCGUGAACAAUACAUUCCGGAAGCUGUGACAUGCGAUGAAAAGGAACUGCUUAAGUGGGAUCGUCUGUGGGGAACGCUUUAACAAUUUUGAUAAAGUCGUUCUCCAUCGAAUCCAGGUUACAGGAAAAGAUGUACCUCAAUACAUAACAUCACUCGAAGAAGCCGGCUUGCGCCCACUACUACUUCAAAACAUUAAGAAUUCUGGCUACAUAAAACCAACACCUGUACAGAAAGCUUCAGUUGCAGUUAUUCUUGCCAAAGAGAUUUGAUUGCUUGUGCUGUCACGGGCUCCGGCAAAACGGCGGCGUACUUGGUACCGGUUAUGAACAUAUUGUUAGAACAAGGUGUUGCUGGUGCGUCCGCGCCAUGGUUCAAAAGCCAGAAGUUGUAAUUGUCGCACUCACUCGUGAAUUUUCGAUUCGAACUCACCGCGGGUCGUAUAAAUUCUCCUACAAUUCGGUUUUAAAAUCUGUCAUUAUAUAUGAGGGAACUGUCACGAGCCAUCAGCGGUCAAAUCUUCAAGCUGGGUGCAAUACUCUUGUCGCGACCGCGGGGCGACUCGAGGAUUUUCCCGACCGUGGAGUAUUUUACUUCUCGACGGCCAGGUUUUUAAUUUUGGACGGAGCUGAUCGAAUGCUUUAUGGGUUUUGGUCCGGAUAUUGAAAAAAUUGCCAACCAUCCAACGAUGCCUCCGAAAGGAAUCCGUCGUGUUUGUAUGUUUACGGUUUCACUGGCGCCCAAGUCGGAAAAUUGCCUUGUCUGGAAAUUUCGCAAAGUGUGACGGGUUUUGGCAGAACUAUGAUUGAGAAAACAAGAGAGGAUGUGGAGUCUAAAUUUUGCGUCGAGAUGCCUAUGCCCAUGAC
Molecule: long non-coding RNA, 1105 nt
Organism: Daphnia carinata
Lineage: Eukaryota; Metazoa; Arthropoda; Branchiopoda; Diplostraca; Daphniidae
Exons: 6
Source: RefSeq, a predicted model, not a curated record